Molecule: ribosomal RNA, 936 nt
Filed under: Ramaria apiculata
Lineage: Eukaryota; Fungi; Basidiomycota; Agaricomycetes; Gomphales; Gomphaceae
Description: partial large subunit ribosomal RNA
Rfam family: Eukaryotic large subunit ribosomal RNA
Source: RNAcentral
ACGGGGAGUAGAACUAACAAGGAUUCCCCUAGUAACGGCGAGUGAAGCGGGAAGAGCUCAAAUUUGUAAUCUGGCGGUCUCUGGCCGUCCGAGUUGUAGUCUCGAGAAGCGUUUUCCGCGUCGGACCGUGUACAAGUCCCUUGGAACAGGGCGUCACAGAGGGUGAGAAUCCCGUCUUUGACACGGACUGCCGAUGCUUUUGCGAUGCGCUCUCAAAGAGUCGAGUUGUUUGGGAAUGCAGCUCAAAACGGGUGGUAAAUUCCAUCUAAAGCUAAAUACUGGCGAAAGACCGAUAGCGAACAAGUACCGUGAGGGAAAGAUGAAAAGCACUUUGAAAAGAGAGUCAAACAGUACGUGAAAUUGUCAAAAGGGAAACGCUUGAAGUCAGUCACGUCCCUCGGGAUUCAGCUCUUGCUUUUUGCAUUGCGGACUUUCCGGGACGACGGGCCAGCAUCGAUCUUGACCGUUGGAGAAAGGCCUUGGGAAUGUGGCACCUACGGGUGUGUUAUAGCCCAGGGUCGUAUGCGACGGUUGGGAUCGAGGGUCGCAGCACGCCUUUUUGGCCGGGGUUCGCCCACGUAACGUGCUUAGGAUGCUGGCGUAAUGGCUUUAAGCGACCCGUCUUGAAACACGGACCAAGGAGUCUAACAUGCCUGCGAGUGUUUGGGUGGAAAACCCGGACGCGGAAUGAAAGUGAAUCAGUUGGGACCUCUGUCGUGGAGGGCACCGACGCCCGGGCCAGAGCUUUUGCGACGGUUCCGAGGUAGAGCAUGUAUGUUGGGACCCGAAAGAUGGUGAACUAUGCCUGCGUAGGGUGAAGCCAGAGGAAACUCUGGUGGAGGCUCGUAGCGAUUCUGACGUGCAAAUCGAUCGUCGAACGUGGGUAUAGGGGCGAAAGACUAAUCGAACCAUCUAGUAGCUGGUUCCUGCCGAGUU